AAUCUCGAUGGCAAGCGGGAGCCGAGAUGAUGUCAGACCUUAGGACCGGGGCAGGUGCUCUCAAAACACACCGUCUCCGGUGAAAAAGGUGCAUUAAUUUAUCAGUAACGUGAAAAAUCUGCAUCCGUCGGGGAUAUUGUGGAUAUCUGUCUACACCGCGGAGAUGACAGAGGUGGAGCCGGUGUUGGAUUUUGCCUCAUCGGGCCGCUCUGGCCGUCGCAACGCAUUGCCGGACAUCCUGGGGUCUCCUGUUGGAGUCCCGCCUGACCUGCCUCUUAAACUGGCAGAACUAUCCCUCACAGACGGUCCAGGUGAUGCUCAGUCCCCGUCUAUGGAGGAACCCCCCACUCCUACAGAGAGCCCAGAGGUGAAGGAGGGUUCCUAGGUGGCUGAGUCUAUGCCAAAACCAGAGAGAUGGGGCCUCAACAGCCCCCGCCUUUCCCCUGGAGCUCAUCCUCUACCGGCUGUUCCUGAUGCCUGUCAGACUGCAUUAUAGGAAGCAACAGAGGGCAGCUAAAAUGCUAAAUGAAGGACAAGGUCUUCAAAGGGUUUGAGCAGUGGAAAAAAAGACAGGAAUGGAAGCAGAAUAUUGCAAGAGGAAGAGCAAUCCUCACUUUUUGAAACACAGACAAGCCAAAACACUGGGGGAUCUGCUUGGGAACGCUUUAAUGAAUUUUACGCAUUUGUUUGACAAAAUGCUGUUCUUUUUAUGAGCUUUCUAUCCAAUAAUGACUAUUGUGAGUUACGUAUACAUCCAGUUGUUGUUUGAUAUUGUAUGAUAUUAUGUGAUCUCAGUAAUGUGUCUUUAAAAAUCGCCUCUGAUUUUGGAAAGGGUAACCAUGAAAGAAUAUGAGCAGAUGUUUGCGGCUAUUCAAGCGGCAUGUAGCAUUAUCUUCAGCCUUCAAAUAAUAAUAAUAAUAAAUAAAAAGAUAUAUAUAUUAUAUAUAUAUAUAUAUAUAUAUAUUGCAAAACCAAAAUAGAUAUUUGUGAGUAAAUUAAUCAGAACUGCCAAACACGAAAUGCAGUAGAAAAAGCAUAAAUCAGGAAGGGAAGAAUAAUCAUAAAAUUAAGAGUAUACAGUACUAGGAUAAAAAUAGUUUGCAGGAUUUUAAGAAAUAUUCAUAAUGCCCUCCAAAGGCAGAGUUUUGAUUUUAAUUUGAAUGGGUCAGCGGAUUCUAAAUAAAUAAAAACACUGACUUUAAUCUGAGCAUGCAAAAGAUUUUAUAACUUAAAAAAGAAAAAAAUGUCCACUUUGUAAUCUCUAUAAACUCAUACUGUAUGUGAUGUACAGAGUUUUGUAUAGAGUGUUCUUACUUAUGUUUAGUAGAUCUUUGAUGUCAGUUUGAUUCAAACUCACAUGAUUGAGCUAAUCCAAACUAUAGGAUAAAAAAAUAGAGUACCUUCGUUGGAUGUGUGGUGCAAGGAUGUCUAAGAGCCAUAGCCUUUUUAAGGUCUGUAUAGCCUAAACAUGCAAACUAAAGGGAGGGAUAUGACUGAUCUUUUGACAAGUCCAGAGAGAUCUUUUUUAGUGUCUGUGUCAUGAUGUGAAUGAAACUGGUAUUCUUUAUUAAGAUGUUGUUUGUUUUUAAUACUCUGUGUUUAUUUUACAGUAUUGUCCCAUUUAUACUCUACGCUGGUAACUUAAUGUAUCAGUGUAAAUUGUUGUAAUUGCCAAACUGGGAUAAAAUUGCCUUUGUAUGUUUUUACACUACAGUAACUGUGCUGUUAAAAACACAUCAAUGAAGUCACACAAUGUGUGUAUUGUAUCUAGCAUUACAAAGAUAUAGAAGCUGUAUCUGUAUAUACACAUAUAUCAAAAAUGAAUGAUACUGAAAGGGGCCAGUAUUAGAAAUCAAUUGAAACCUGCUGUACCUCAGAACCUAUUUAAAUGAAUGAAGUGCUGUUGUUUACCACCAGGUGGAGCCACUAUUCACACGGGGGCAUUGCAAUCUAAACGCCAUUUGUUGUCAUUAUGAAACCAUAAGAGGGUGACCAUGUGUUUCUCUGCAAUAAACGUCUAAUGUCAUACACAUA
Molecule: long non-coding RNA, 2034 nt
Organism: Carassius gibelio (silver crucian carp)
Lineage: Eukaryota; Metazoa; Chordata; Actinopteri; Cypriniformes; Cyprinidae
Exons: 3
Source: RefSeq, a predicted model, not a curated record